RNAcentral lists this ribosomal RNA (486 nucleotides) under uncultured bacterium. RNAcentral describes it as "partial 16S ribosomal RNA". It matches the Rfam family "Bacterial small subunit ribosomal RNA", at positions 30 to 507 of the family's 1533-position model. The record is from RNAcentral.
AUUGAACGCUGGCGGCAUGCCUUACACAUGCAAGUCGAACGGCAGCACGGGUGCUUGCACCUGGUGGCGAGUGGCGAACGGGUGAGUAAUACAUCGGAACAUGUCCUGUAGUGGGGGAUAGCCCGGCGAAAGCCGGAUUAAUACCGCAUACGAUCUACGGAUGAAAGCGGGGGACCUUCGGGCCUCGCGCUAUAGGGUUGGCCGAUAGCUGAUUAGCUAGUUGGUGGGGUAAAGGCCUACCAAGGCGACGAUCAGUAGCUGGUCUGAGAGGACGACCAGCCACACUGGGACUGAGGCACGGCCCAGACUCCUACGGGAGGCAGCAGUGGGGAAUUUUGGACAAUGGGCGAAAGCCUGAUCCAGCAAUGCCGCGUGUGUGAAGAAGGCCUUCGGGUUGUAAAGCACUUUUGUCCGGAAAGAAAUCCUUGGCUCUAAUACAGUCGGGGGAUGACGGUACCGGAAGAAUAAGCACCGGCUAACUACGUG